AUUGAACGCUGGCGGCAGGCCUAACACAUGCAAGUCGAACGAGUGGCGGACGGGUGAGUAAUGUCUGGGAAACUGCCCGCUGGAGGGGGAUAACUACUGGAAACGGUAGCUAAUACCGCAUACCAUCGGAUGUGCCCAGAUGGGCUUAGCUAGUAGGUGGGGUAACGGCUCACCUAGGCGACGAUGCCUAGCUGGUCUGAGAGGAUGACCAGCCACACUGGAACGGAGACACGGUCCAGGCCCCUGCGUGAGGCAGCAGUAGGGAAGAUUACACAAUGGGCGCAAGCCUGAUGCAGCCAUGCCGCGUGUAUGAAGAAGGCCUUCGGGUUGUAAAGUACUUUCAGCGGGGAGGCGUUACCCGCAGAAGAAGCACCGGCUAACUCCGUGCCAGCAGCCGCGGUAAUUC
RNAcentral lists this ribosomal RNA (406 nucleotides) under uncultured bacterium. RNAcentral describes it as "partial 16S ribosomal RNA". It matches the Rfam family "Bacterial small subunit ribosomal RNA", at positions 30 to 526 of the family's 1533-position model. The record is from RNAcentral.